RNAcentral lists this ribosomal RNA (497 nucleotides) under uncultured bacterium. RNAcentral describes it as "partial 16S ribosomal RNA". It matches the Rfam family "Bacterial small subunit ribosomal RNA", at positions 28 to 507 of the family's 1533-position model. The record is from RNAcentral.
GAUGAACGCUGGCGGCGUGCCUAAUACAUGCAAGUCGAGCGAACGGACUAGAAGCUUUCUUCCCUGAUGUUAGCGGCGGACGGGUGUGUAACCCGUGGAUAACCUACCUAUAAGACUUGGAUAACUUCGGGAAACCGGAGCUAAUACCGGAUAAUAUUUUGAACCGCAUGGUUCAAAAGUGAAAGACGGUCUUGCUGUCACUGAUAGAUGGAUCCGCGCUGCAUUAGCUAGUUGGUAAGGUAACGGCUUACCAAGGCAACGAUGCAUAGCCGACCUGAGAGGGUGAUCGGCCACACUGGAACUGAGACACGGUCCAGACUCCUACGGGAGGCAGCAGUAGGGAAUCUGCCGCAAUGGGCGAAAGCCUGACGGAGCAACGCCGCGUGAGUGAUGAAGGUCUUCGGAUCGUAAAACUCUGUUAUUAGGGAAGAACAUAUGUGUAAGUAACUGUGCACAUCUUGACGGUACCUAAUCAGAAAGCCACGGCUAACUACGUG